GACGAACGCUGGCGGCGUGCUUAACACAUGCAAGUCGAACGGAAAGGCCCUGCUUUUGUGGGGUGCUCGAGUGGCGAACGGGUGAGUAACACGUGAGUAACCUGCCCUUGACUUUGGGAUAACUUCAGGAAACUGGGGCUAAUACCGGAUAGGAGCUCCUGCUGCAUGGUGGGGGUUGGAAAGUUUCGGCGGUUGGGGAUGGACUCGCGGCUUAUCAGCUUGUUGGUGGGGUAGUGGCUUACCAAGGCUUUGACGGGUAGCCGGCCUGAGAGGGUGACCGGGCACAUUGGGACUGAGAUACGGCGCAGAAGCCGACGGGAGGCAGAAGGGGGGAAUAUUGCACAAUGGGCGGAAGCCUGAUGCAGCAACGCCGCGUGCGGGAUGACGGCCUUCGGGUUGUAAACCGCUGUCGCCUGUGACGAAGCGUGAGUGACGGUAAUGGGUAAAGAAGCACCGGCUAACUACGUG
RNAcentral lists this ribosomal RNA (468 nucleotides) under uncultured bacterium. Its description in RNAcentral is "partial 16S ribosomal RNA". It matches the Rfam family "Bacterial small subunit ribosomal RNA", at positions 28 to 507 of the family's 1533-position model. The record is from RNAcentral.